RNAcentral lists this RNase P RNA (399 nucleotides) under Symploca sp. SIO2C1. RNAcentral's name for it is "RNase P RNA component class A". It matches the Rfam family "Bacterial RNase P class A". Rfam says of the family: Ribonuclease P (RNase P) is a ubiquitous endoribonuclease, found in archaea, bacteria and eukarya as well as chloroplasts and mitochondria. The record is from RNAcentral. Lineage: Bacteria; Bacillati; Cyanobacteriota; Cyanophyceae; Coleofasciculales; Coleofasciculaceae.
GAGAGUAAGCGAAGGCAGUUGCGGAGGAAGUGUAAUCUUCCUCUGAGGAAAGUCCGGGCUCCCGAAAGACCAAACUUGCUGGGUAACGCCCAGUGCGGGUGACCGUGAGGAUAGUGCCACAGAAAGAUACCGCCAAUUAGUCAUUUGUCCCUAAAGGAUAAUAAGACAAAAUUGGUAAGGGUGCAAAGGUGCGGUAAGAGCGCACCAGCAGCAUCGAGAGGUGCUGGCUCGGUAAACCCCGGUUGGGAGCAAGGUCGAAGGAACUACGGUUGGUCUUUUACCAGUUCCGUUGAAAAGAACCGCCAGAGGCGUCUGGUAACAGUAGUCCCAGAUAGAUAACUGCCCUCUUAGCCAGCACAGCUAGGAGAACAGAACCCGGCUUAUGUCUGACUCUCUCCU